GGAGUUUUGGCUCAGUGGUAGAGUGCUUGCCUAGCACGUAUGAGGCCCUGGGUUUGAUCCUCAGCACCA
Molecule: transfer RNA, 69 nt
Filed under: Marmota marmota marmota (Alpine marmot)
Lineage: Eukaryota; Metazoa; Chordata; Mammalia; Rodentia; Sciuridae
Also listed under: 1 other name
Rfam family: tRNA
About the family: Transfer RNA (tRNA) molecules are approximately 80 nucleotides in length. Their secondary structure includes four short double-helical elements and three loops (D, anti-codon, and T loops).
Source: Rfam by way of RNAcentral